This is a long non-coding RNA of Planococcus citri (citrus mealybug), 1576 nucleotides long. RefSeq lists it as uncharacterized. The record is from RefSeq and is a predicted model, not a curated record. NCBI's taxonomy places the organism in Eukaryota, Metazoa, Arthropoda, Insecta, Hemiptera, Pseudococcidae. The transcript is spliced from 3 exons.
CUGACCAAUUCAGUAGAUUUUUCACAGUUUUGCAGUAAAAAACUACGGAUUUUAAAAAGGCAAAAUGUUGUGACUGCUAAGCAGUUAAAUUUCACUGUUUCAAAUUUAGAGAGUACACCGAUCUCAAAUGGUAAUUGGGAUUUUUUCAACAACGUAAGCGAGUUUGCUUUUAAUGAACAAUUUAUUAAACUAUUAAAAUUAUUAGGUACACCACAAACGCGUAGGUGAAUUAUUCUACAUAAUGCCGCUCAUCCCGUAUCCAGAUUUCGUUUCAUUUGUUUUAAUUUAGGUAUGUAUUACUUUUAUUAGAUUCUAAUUUUAUUUUCAUUUUUUACUUUAACAGGAUUCCAAAAAGGGAUGCAAGAUCACGUUCUGCUUGAACGUGUUGUUUUUUCUGUUUCUGUACUUCAGGUACAUAUGAAUCCUACCAAUUGGCAGAUUCAAAUUUGAAACUGAAUGAAUUGCAGGCCAAUAAUGGGCGGAUACCCUGCUUCAAGGGAGUAAUUAUGUGUGUUUCGCAGACUAUUGGAAAUACGCCAACGAACAUAGCUAUUGCAGAUGAAACAGAUAGGUUAGAUGGAGGAUAUGCUGCAAGAAAUUUCAAAUAUAAAGUAAAUGGAUACGAAUUGUAAACGUUUUGAAAAGCCUUACAACACUGCCAUGUGCAUUAAACGAACGAUUAGCAACAAAAAUAAAAAAGUCUGCAUCUCGCGUCAAGUGACGCGCUCGAAGACGACGUCAACUUAUGUAUAUCAUAUUUAUCGGUACACGGAGAUCCUACGUCGACGUGCUGGCGUUCGGAAUACUACGAAUUCGAAAGUUGUGAUAUUUCUGACAAAGGUGCUUAAUUUUAAUUAGGUAUUUUUCAUUCCACAGGUUUGCGUAGACACAGCUCAGAUUCUAUCAUGUUGAGGCUGUGUCGACGUUGACACAGCCGAGAGUGUAUUCACGGCGGACUAGAUAGGCAAUUUUAUCAACAUGAACGCCUACUGGUAGUUCAAACACAUGACUGCCUAAUCCAGCUUCGACAUUCGUGAAUCAUAAAUCGUGUCAAUGUUGACACAGCCUCGACAUUCAUAAAUCGUUAUUAUGUCUACGUCGACGCGGUCUCAAUUUUUCUUCUGUGAAAAAAAAUUUUAAAUGAAUUUUUUAGCAAAUUAUUUUAUUAAAUGAAUUCGACAGCGACUUAUCAACUGUAUUAUGUAUACAGACAGCGUUAUACAAAAUUAGUCUGGCUAACAAAAUUUAAAUAUCUACGAUUGAGAAAAUAUUUUGAAGAACAAAGUGAAAAUCCACCGGAAUACAUGGAAGUGGAAUGAGUACGAACCAUUUAUCUAAGCGAUAUGAAGAAUACUUGACGUAAAUUUAGUAUUUAGCCCACUAGUGGCAGUAAGUCUUUCGUUCCUCUUCCCUUCAUUUCAUUUUUUCUUUCGUAUUAUUUUUUCUGUUUUGUUUUGUACAUUACUAUAAAAUAUGCUAAAAUUGACUUCUUGAAGUCUCAUUUCCUGAAAAAAUACGAAUUUUAGACAACAUUUUCGGAUAAUUAAAAAUUAAUAAAAUCAAUAAGAGGCCACCA